This 430-nucleotide ribosomal RNA is filed under the name uncultured bacterium. RNAcentral describes it as "bacterial SSU rRNA". It matches the Rfam family "Bacterial small subunit ribosomal RNA", at positions 353 to 798 of the family's 1533-position model. The record is from RNAcentral.
AUUGGGGAAUCUUCCGCAAUGGGCGAAAGCCUGACGGAGCAACGCCGCGUGAGGGAUGAAGGCCUCUGGGCUGUAAACCUCUUUUAUCAAGGAAGAAGAUCUGACGGUACUUGAUGAAUAAGCCACGGCUAAUUCCGUGCCAGCAGCCGCGGUAAUACGGGAGUGGCAAGCGUUAUCCGGAAUUAUUGGGCGUAAAGCGUCCGCAGGCGGUCUUGUAAGUCUGUCGUUAAAGCGUGGAGCUUAACUCCAUUUAAGCGAUGGAAACUGCAAGACUAGAGUGUGGUAGGGGCAGAGGGAAUUCCCGGUGUAGCGGUGAAAUGCGUAGAUAUCGGGAAGAACACCAGUGGCGAAGGCGCUCUGCUGGGCCAUAACUGACGCUCAUGGACGAAAGCCAGGGGAGCGAAAGGGAUUAGAUACCCCUGUAGUCAAU